RNAcentral lists this ribosomal RNA (549 nucleotides) under uncultured Glomus. RNAcentral describes it as "SSU rRNA". It matches the Rfam family "Eukaryotic small subunit ribosomal RNA", at positions 548 to 1098 of the family's 1831-position model. Lineage: Eukaryota; Fungi; Glomeromycota; Glomeromycetes; Glomerales; Glomeraceae. The record is from RNAcentral.
UUGGAGGGCAAGUCUGGUGCCAGCAGCCGCGGUAAUUCCAGCUCCAAUAGCGUAUAUUAAAGUUGUUGCAGUUAAAAAGCUCGUAGUUGAAUUUCGGGAUCAAUUUGCUGGUCGUGCCUUCGGUACGCACUGGUAUUAUUGGUUUCUCCUUUCUGAUGAAUCGCGAUGUCAUUAAUUUGGUGUCGUGGGGAAUCAGGACCGUUACUUUGAAAAAAUUAGAGUGUUUAAAGCAGGCUCACGCUUGAAUACAUUAGCAUGGAAUAAUGAAAUAGGACGUUUGAUUCUAUUUUGUUGGUUUCUAGGAUCGACGUAAUGAUUAAUAGGGAUAGUUGUGGGCAUUAGUAUUCAAUUGUCAGAGGUGAAAUUCUUGGAUUUAUUGAAGACUAACUACUGCGAAAGCAUUUGCCAAGGAUGUUUUCAUUAAUCAAGAACGAAAGUUAGGGGAUCGAAGACGAUCAGAUACCGUCGUAGUCUUAACCAUAAACUAUGCCGACUAGGGAUCGGAUGAUGUUAAUUUUUUAAUGACUCAUUCGGCGCCUUACGGGAAAC